Molecule: ribosomal RNA, 269 nt
Filed under: uncultured prokaryote
Description: partial 16S ribosomal RNA
Rfam family: Bacterial small subunit ribosomal RNA
Source: RNAcentral
UACGAAGGUGCAAGCGUUACUCGGAAUUACUGGGCGUAAAGGGUGCGUAGGUGGUUCGUUAAGUCUGAUGUGAAAGCCCUGGGCUCAACCUGGGAAUUGCAUUGGAUACUGGCGGGCUAGAGUGCGGUAGAGGGUAGUGGAAUUCCCGGUGUAGCAGUGAAAUGCGUAGAUAUCGGGAGGAACAUCCGUGGCGAAGGCGACUGCCUGGACCAGCACUGACACUGAGGCACGAAAGCGUGGGGAGCAAACAGGGAUUAGAUACCCCCGUA